AAAAAAUGAGUAAUUGUUUGUAAAUUUGAAGCUUGCUAGGGAUUGUUGUGUGUCAAUUUUAUAGAAUAAGUCAUCACAAGCAAUUGUUUGUAGAUUUGAAGCUUGUUAGGGAUUGUUGUGUGUCAAUUUUAUAGAAUAAGUCAUCACAAGGUAUGAACCUUAAUGUUCCCAGGCCCAAAUCUGGUUUAAUCCCACCAAGGAAUUAGAAGAUGAAACAACUUUUCGAUUAGAUAGUCCUUCAAUUAAUAAAUCCAACUUGUCUUUCCCUUAAUUCUUGGGACCUUAAUAUUUUAACAUUUACGGAUAAUUAUUGGAUAUAAU
Long non-coding RNA from Gordionus sp. m RMFG-2023, 321 nucleotides. RefSeq lists it as uncharacterized. Lineage: Eukaryota; Metazoa; Nematomorpha; Gordioida; Chordodea; Parachordodidae. The transcript has 3 exons. The record is from RefSeq and is a predicted model, not a curated record.